This 508-nucleotide ribosomal RNA is filed under the name uncultured bacterium. RNAcentral's name for it is "partial 16S ribosomal RNA". It matches the Rfam family "Bacterial small subunit ribosomal RNA", at positions 28 to 523 of the family's 1533-position model. The record is from RNAcentral.
GAUGAACGCUAGCUACAGGCUUAACACAUGCAAGUCAAGGGGAAACGAUAGAGAAAGCUUGCUUUUUCUAGGCGUCGACCGGCGCACGGGUGAGUAACGCGUAUCCAACCUGCCCAUCACUUGGGGAUAACCUUGCGAAAGUAAGACUAAUACCCAAUGACGUCUCUAGAAGACAUCUGAAGGAGAUUAAAGAUUUAUCGGUGAUGGAUGGGGAUGCGUCUGAUUAGCUUGUUGGCGGGGUAACGGCCCACCAAGGCGACGAUCAGUUGGGGUUCUGAGAGGAAGGUCCCCCACAUUGGAACUGAGACACGGUCCAAACUCCUACGGGAGGCAGCAGUGAGGAAUAUUGGUCAAUGGACGAGAGUCUGAACCAGCCAAGUAGCGUGCAGGAUGACGGCCCUAUGGGUUGUAAACUGCUUUUAUAAGGGAAUAAAGUGAGCCACGUGUGGCUUUUUGCAUGUACCUUAUGAAUAAGGACCGGCUAAUUCCGUGCCAGCCGCCGCGGUAA